CCUACGUGAGGCAGCAGUGGGGAAUAUUGCGCAAUGGGCGAAAGCCUGACGCAGCGACGCCGCGUGAGGGAUGCAGGUCUUCGGAUCGUAAACCUCUGUCAGCAGGGAAGAACGGUCACUGUGCUAAUCAGCAGUGAAUUGACGGUACCUGCAAAGGAAGCACCGGCUAACUCCGUGCCAGCAGCCGCGGUAAUACGGAGGGUGCGAGCGUUAAUCGGAAUUACUGGGCGUAAAGCGCUCGUAGGCGGUAUGUCAAGUCAAGGGUGAAAUCCCCGCGCUCAACGUGGGAACUGCCUUGGAAACUGGCAAACUGGAGUGUGUGAGAGGAUAGUGGAAUUCCAGGUGUAGGAGUGAAAUCCGUAGAUAUCGGGAGGAACAUCAGUGGCGAAGGCGACUAUCUGGCACAUAACUGACGCUGAGGAGCGAAAGCGAGGGUAGCAAACAGGAUUAGAUACCCGGGUAGUC
RNAcentral lists this ribosomal RNA (465 nucleotides) under uncultured bacterium. RNAcentral's name for it is "partial 16S ribosomal RNA". It matches the Rfam family "Bacterial small subunit ribosomal RNA", at positions 338 to 795 of the family's 1533-position model. The record is from RNAcentral.